GAUGAACGCUGGCGGCGUGCCUAACACAUGCAAGUCGAGCGGAGAUAGAGAGAGUACUUGUACAAUUUCUAUUUCAGCGGCGGACGGGUGAGUAACACGUGAGUAACCUGCCUUUCACUGGGGAAUAACAUCGAGAAAUCGGUGCUAAUACCGCAUAAUGUCACGAGGCUGCAUGGCCAUGUGACCAAAGGAGUAAUCCGGUGAAAGAUGGACUCGCGUCCGAUUAGAUAGUUGGUGAGGUAACGGCCACCAAGUCUGCGAUCGGUAGCCGAACUGAGAGGUUGAUCGGCCACAUUGGGACUGAGACACGGCCCAGACUCCUACGGGAGGCAGCAGUGGGGAAUAUUGGGCAAUGGGCGAAAGCCUGACCCAGCAACGCCGCGUGAAGGAAGAAGGUCUUCGGAUUGUAAACUUCUUUGAUCAGGGACGAAGAAAUGACGGUACCUGAAGAACAAGCCACGGCUAACUACGUAGCCAGCAGCCGCGGUAA
This 490-nucleotide ribosomal RNA is filed under the name uncultured bacterium. RNAcentral's name for it is "bacterial SSU rRNA". It matches the Rfam family "Bacterial small subunit ribosomal RNA", at positions 28 to 523 of the family's 1533-position model. The record is from RNAcentral.